Molecule: ribosomal RNA, 456 nt
Filed under: uncultured bacterium
Lineage: Bacteria
Description: SSU rRNA
Rfam family: Bacterial small subunit ribosomal RNA
Source: RNAcentral
AGGAUGAAUGCUGGCGGCGUGCCUAAUACAUGCAAGUCGAGCGGUAAGGCCCUUCGGGGUACACGAGCGGCGGACGGCUGAGUAACGCGUGGGAACAUGCCCCAAAGUGAGGGAUAAGCAUCGGAAACGGUGUCUAAUACCGCAUAUGGUCUUCGGAUUAAAGGAUUUAUCCGCUUUGGGAGUGGCCCGCGUACGAUUAGGUUGUUGGUGAGGUAAUGGCUCACCAAGCCUACGAUCGUUAACUGGUCUGAGAGGAUGAUCAGUCAGACUGGAACUGAGACACGGUCCAGACUCCUACGGGAGGCAGCAGUAAGGAAUCUUCCACAAUGGGCGAAAGCCUGAUGGAGCAACGCCGCGUGCAGGAUGAAGGCCUUCGGGUCGUAAACUGCUUUUAUGAGUGAAGAAUAUGACGGUAACUCAUGAAUAAGCACCGGCUAACUACGUGCCAGCAGCCGC